Molecule: ribosomal RNA, 335 nt
Filed under: uncultured Bacillota bacterium
Lineage: Bacteria; Bacillati; Bacillota
Description: bacterial SSU rRNA
Rfam family: Bacterial small subunit ribosomal RNA
Source: RNAcentral
GACGAACGCUGGCGGCGUGCCUAACACAUGCAAGUCGAACGGAGAUUGCAUUUAUGCAGUCUUAGUGGCGAACGGGUGAGUAACGCGUAGACAACCUACCACUUAGAUGGGGACAACACUGCGAAAGUGGUGCUAAUACCGAAUGUUGUAUCGAAGCUGCAUAGCUUUGCUACUAAAGAUGGCCUCUAUUUAUAAGCUAUCGCUAAGUGAUGGGUCUGCGUCUGAUUAGCUAGUUGGUGAGGUAAUGGCUCACCAAGGCUACGAUCAGUAGCCGGUCUGAGAGGAUGAACGGCCACACUGGGACUGAGACACGGCCCAGACUCCUACGGGUGCAG